Molecule: transfer RNA, 88 nt
Filed under: Triticum aestivum (bread wheat)
Lineage: Eukaryota; Viridiplantae; Streptophyta; Magnoliopsida; Poales; Poaceae
Rfam family: tRNA
About the family: Transfer RNA (tRNA) molecules are approximately 80 nucleotides in length. Their secondary structure includes four short double-helical elements and three loops (D, anti-codon, and T loops).
Source: Rfam by way of RNAcentral
GGAGACAUGGUUGAGUUGUUAAUAGCUCCGGUCUUGAAAACCGGUACGGUUCUAGGAACUAUCAAGGAUUCGAAUCCCUUUCUCCCCC